RNAcentral lists this non-coding RNA (180 nucleotides) under Ipomoea nil (Japanese morning glory). Its description in RNAcentral is "Bacterial small subunit ribosomal RNA". It matches the Rfam family "Bacterial small subunit ribosomal RNA", at positions 1388 to 1520 of the family's 1533-position model. Lineage: Eukaryota; Viridiplantae; Streptophyta; Magnoliopsida; Solanales; Convolvulaceae. The record is from Rfam by way of RNAcentral.
CACCGCCCGUCACACCCUGGGAAUUGGUUUCGCCCGAAGCAUCGGACCAAUGAUCACCCAUGACUUCUGUGUCACACUAAUGCCACAAAGGCUUUUAGUGGUCUUAUUGGCGCAUACCACGGUGGGGUCUUCGACUGGGGUGAAGUCGUAACAAGGUAGCCGUAGGGGAACCUGUGGCUG